UUUGAUUAGACUAGACUGUUUGAUAUUUUUUUUUUGAAUUUUUGACUGAAUCGACUUUAUUAACUCAUUCAAACUUUAUUGAUUUAAUCGUUCUGUCGACCAUUGAUUGUUUGCAUGAUUGUAUAAAGGCGCGGCCUUUUUCCCCGGCAUAGCUAGUCUUAUCGCAACCAUCCAUCGACUCGUCAAUAAGCUUGACCAUCUUUUCGUCAGACUUACGGAACGAUCAAGCAUUGCAUUGUAUUGCAUUUGCGGGAAGUAUGUUACAGCUGCC
Schizosaccharomyces pombe (fission yeast) is the source of this 271-nucleotide non-coding RNA. The record is from the annotation of a GenBank genome assembly. Lineage: Eukaryota; Fungi; Ascomycota; Schizosaccharomycetes; Schizosaccharomycetales; Schizosaccharomycetaceae.